AGCUUUGGAUUCAUAAGCUCAGUAAAUUAAGGAAUUUCACAUUAUGAACUCAAUUUGAGAUGGGUUGGACUGGUGAUACCUGGAAGGGGUAAAUGAGAACCCACUCUGGAGGCACUUUACGCCUGAGGGAGCAUCCACAAAUAAUUUUUCAGGGGCUGGAAACCUAACAAUUUCACUUCCUAGACAACUUGCUAAAAGUCACCUAAAGACAGUCUGGUUACUGCCAAAGAUAUGCUUUCAAAUAAGAUUUGGAUAAAGAAGGGAGGUAGAUGCCUUUUUUCAGCAGUGGAGUGAUGUCUAGACCAGUAGAUGUACGCAUCUAAGUGAAUUCAUCACCAGCAACAAUUUCCAGAAACUUCCUGACCUCCAGAUUGCAGCUUCAUUAGUGUGAGUUUAAAGCCAACUAGAUGCCAUUCUCAGAUUCCACGCAUAUGGCCAAGGGUCCAGGAAAUAAGAAGAAACAGGUUGAGGGGUUGGUGUUAUGGGGCAUUUACUUGAAUUUUCUAUGCUAUAAUUGUCUCAUCUUUAAAACGGUGAUAAUAAUAAAAUUGUCAGUUAUUAAAUAAAUUAACACAGUGAAA
RNAcentral lists this long non-coding RNA (581 nucleotides) under Homo sapiens (human). Its description in RNAcentral is "non-protein coding ZNF793-AS1:14". Lineage: Eukaryota; Metazoa; Chordata; Mammalia; Primates; Hominidae. The record is from RNAcentral.